Myotis myotis is the source of this 539-nucleotide long non-coding RNA. RefSeq lists it as uncharacterized. Lineage: Eukaryota; Metazoa; Chordata; Mammalia; Chiroptera; Vespertilionidae. The record is from RefSeq and is a predicted model, not a curated record. The transcript has 2 exons.
UGACUCCAGUCUGCUCUGCCCUCCCUCCCCUGGAGCCCAGGGAGGAAGAGGAGGACCACGUUGCAUUCACUUGGACCGACCUGCAGUAGACUUCCAAUAGGCUUCCGCAGGCACACCUCGACCCCCUGGCAAUCUGCCACCAGUGGGCAGGGCUUGGCCUCCCACCAGUCCAGGUCACCACAGGCGUUUUGGUCAUCCUUCGUAUCAGUGACACCCUGAUAGUAGGGCCCACCGAAAACCAGGUGGAGGGGGUGCUUGCUGCAGUUAGUCACCAGGACUAGUGACAGUUGGCCUCUAAACCCAGAUAAAGCCCAGGGCCCAGCACAGCAGGUGCCAUUCCUAAGGGCCACUAGGGCAGGAAGCCAAUGAAGCAGCCCAGAUUCGGUAAAGCAAAAAAUGCUUGCCCCUGGCGGCACUGGAGACAGCAUGUAUACCUGUGAGUGGUCUUUUGCCCCCACUAGUUUAGGUGACCCCCAGGUACCAAUUUUCAAAAAUGAAAGAAUAAAGACAGACUAAAAGUUAAAAAAAAAAAAAAAAAA